GCGGAGGAAAAGAAAAUAACAAUGAUUUCCCUAGUAACGGCGAGUGAAGAGGAAAGAGCUCAAAGUUGGAACCUGUUUGGCUUAGCUAAACCGGAUUGUAAACUGUAGAAGUGUUUUCCAGACACGCCUGGUAAAAAAGUCCUUUGGAACAGGGCAUCAUAGAGGGUGAGAAUCCCGUCUUUGGCCAGAGCUGUUGUCUUUUGUGAUACAUUUUCAAAGAGUCAGGUUGUUUGGGAAUGCAGCCUAAAUUGGGUGGUAAAUCUCACCUAAAGCUAAAUAUUUGCGAGAGACCGAUAGCGAACAAGUACCGUGAGGGAAAGAUGAAAAGAACUUUGAAAAGAGAGUUAAACAGUAUGUGAAAUUGUUAAAAGGGAACCGUUUGGAGCCAGACUGGCUUGAUCGUAAUCAAUCUAGGCUUCGGCCUGGAUGCACUUGCGGUCUAUGCCUGCCAACGACAGUUUUAUUUGGGGGAAAAAAUUAUUAGGAAUGUGGCCCUUCGGGGUGUUAUAGCCUUUUAAAAAAUACCCUGGAUUGGACUGAGGAACGCAGUGAAUGCCUUUAGGCAAGAUUGCUGGGCGCUUUCGUUAAUACAUGCUAGAAUUUCUGCUUUGGGUGGUGCUAGUGUGUAGCGAUGGAACUCGCUUGGUAUAUUUUUUAUUCGCUUAGGUUGUUGGCUUAAUGACUCUAAUGAC
Molecule: ribosomal RNA, 692 nt
Filed under: Mucor hiemalis f. silvaticus
Lineage: Eukaryota; Fungi; Mucoromycota; Mucoromycetes; Mucorales; Mucoraceae
Description: eukaryotic LSU rRNA
Rfam family: Eukaryotic large subunit ribosomal RNA
Source: RNAcentral